CCAUUAUUUUUUUAGUUGAUUUGAGGGCAGAGUGGGAUCUCAUGGAAAAAGAGUGGGCACCAAUCUUGGACAUGAAUGAAAUCUACAGACUCUGAAAACGGGCCCUUCACAGAGUAUUUGCAGUUGUCUGUCUUUCUGUUUGCUGUUCCAAUCUCUAUUUUUUUCUGAUUUAUUUUAUUUUAUGUUUUUCUUUCAUAUAUGUCUUGAUUGCUGCUGUGACUGCAGUUUUUUCUAAGUGUGGAUACUUACAACAGCCUGUUGAAAGUCAGCGAAGAAAUAACUGCUUCUCAGAUUUGUCUUGUCCUUCAAUAUGUAUCUAAAACAGGAAGUAUUCAUGAAUUGACAUGGGUCAACAUACUUCUCAUUACCAGGCAAAAGCAGCUCUGGAGUGACCCCUCCUGUACCCCACAUAGCCCUGGAGUGGAUGGAGCUUUUAUCAUGUUGGAGAAGUACACUAUUUUAAAUGGGGAGAAUUCCAGUGUUGUCUCCAAGGUGAAGUCAUGAUCUUGUAUAAUAAAGCACAUAAAACUUGAUAGUUACA
This 541-nucleotide long non-coding RNA is filed under the name Phasianus colchicus (ring-necked pheasant). RNAcentral describes it as "lncRNA (ENSPCLG00000015974.1)". The record is from RNAcentral. Lineage: Eukaryota; Metazoa; Chordata; Aves; Galliformes; Phasianidae.